UCUUCGUAGGAACCCUCGGGUGGCGGGGGGGGCGAGGAGCCCCGUGCCUUUCUCUGAGGGGGGCGGGGGGGUCCCCAAGGGGACCACAGGGGACGGAUGGGAGCUCACUCACACCCAGCGCUUCCCAGAGCCGCCGUGCAGGGAUGGCUGCACCCAGACCCCCUCCUCCCCCCCCCCAGCUUUCCUCCCCCCAUCCUUACCCCCACCUGUGAGCUCUGGGUGCUGCCCUGGAGACGCUCACACGCUCUCCCUCCUCUUGCAUCCAUCACUGCAGCUCCUGGGGGGGAUUUUGGGAGGGGGGGGUUGGAGCAGGAUUGCAAGCAGUGCAGUGAGCAGGACGGGGAGCAGCUCGGAGCUCGGUGCACAGCACAACUCACCUGCACCACCCCGGCACUGCCGGGUCCCCGAGGAAGGCGAGAGGCAGCGCAUCAUCAUGUACUCCGCAUCCUCUGCUGCUGCUGCUGCUGGAGGGGGGGGGAUUUGAGUCACGGCCCCCCCAGCACCCCCUGUUGCUCCCUGUUGCACUCACCUGCCGGGCCCUGCAGCCGUUGCAGCAGCUCUCCCACCGACUGCUUCUUGGCUCGGGCUGCGGCGCUGAGGUUCUCCCGGUCGAGGAGGAGCAGGAAGGAGCUCAGGUCGGCCAGCAGCGCCUCCAGGUCUGCAGGGGGAGCAGCGUGGCAGCCCCAACCCCGGGGAAAAUCCCACCACUGCUGGCCCCCACACGGGUCGGUUGUGGGUUGGGUCCCAAAGUGCUGCUCCAGGAGGGAGGGGAGCGCAGCGCAUGGGAGCUGCAUGGAGGCCGCUCCGUGCGUGCAAAAAAUGGGAGCACGGAGGGGGGUCUCGGGGGUCCUGCAGCAGCAGCAGGGCCAGGCACCGCUGUUGGUGCCUGCAUCCCUGCAGCAAUGCAUCCCCAUUACAUCCCCAUUGCAUCCCCAUGGUGCCUGCAUCCCUGCACCAAUGCACCCCCAUUGCAUCCCCAUGGUGCCUGCAUCCCUGCAGCAAUGCAUCCCCAUUGCAUCCCUAUUUCAUCCCCAUAGUGCCUCCAUCCCUGCACCACAACAUCCCCAUUGCACCCCCAUGGUGCCUGCAUCCUUGCAGCAAUGCAUCCCCAUUGCAUCCCUAUUUCAUCCCCAUGGUGCCUGCAUCCCUGCACCACAACAUCCCCAUUGCACCCCCAUGGUGCCUGCAUCCCUGCAGCAAUGCAUCCCCAUUGCAUCCCCAUGGUGCCUGCAUUCCUGCACCACUGCAUCCCCAUUGCAUCCCCAAGGUGCCAGCAUCCCUGCACCACUGCAUCCCCACUGCAUCCCCAUGGUGCCUGCAUCCCUGCACCUCUGCGUCCCCAUUGCAUCCUCAUGGUGCCAGCAUCCUUGCACCCAAUGCUUCCCCACUGCACCCCAUAGAACAGCAUCCCUGCACCACUGCAUCCCCACUGCAUCCCCACGGUGCCAGCACCCCAGCACCCAGCACAUCCCUGCAUCCACCCUGCACGGCUCUUCGUGGAUGAGUCGCAGCUCCAAAGGGAGCAGCAGACCCCCCCGCUCCCCUCCCCAGGAGCAGCAGCAGCAGAUGGGCAAAGAGAUGCAGGCAGCAGAUCCUGCGCACGGCGCGUGGGAUGGGAGGUGCUGGCAGCGGGGAAACGCGUGCGCCGAGGGGAGAGGAAACAUCUGGCAGAGCAGCAGGGCUGAGCAAUGCCGGAGCUGCGCCCAAACAUCUGGAUUGCCCUGGAAACGGGGGGGAGGGAGGGGACAAGAAAGGGGGGACAAACUCCCCGAGCAACCCGGGGUGCUGCUGGGGGGGGCUGUGGGGUGGAUGCUGCCUGCUGUGCUCAGCUCUGCCUCCCCCUCCGUGCUCCUCUCCUCUUCCCAAACCCAAUUCCUCAGCCAUCACAUCUCCGCCCUCCCGCCGCUCCCCAGACCCCCCCAUCCCUUCCUGACCCCCCCCAGCACCCCGCUGUGCUCACAGCUCUGUGCCCCACGGUGCGUGUGGGGUCACCAGUGGCGACACCGUGGCGUUUGGGGGGGGGCAAGAGACGGACAGCAGCUGUGGGGCAGGGGGGGAAAACAGCCCCCAACCGCAGCGGCACGAGGAGGGGAUGCUAUGGGGUCGGGGACGCCAUGGGGUCGGGGAUGCUGUGGGGUCAAAUGAGGAGCCUAUGGGGCGGGAGGGGGGUCCACAGCUGCGGGGCACCCCAGGGAGCGCAGCGGGAUGACUCAGAGGAGGAGAUGGAGGAGAGGCCUGGAGCUGCGCCCGGCCGCAGCGUGACCCCAUGCCGCGGCCAUAGGGUGGGGGCCCUUCCCUCCGCCCCCACGGCGUCGCCGUGCCCCCGCAUUGUCCCCACGGGAGCAGCCCCUUCCCCCACAGCCCAUCCCGUGACUCCCCCUCGCCCUCCCCUUGUUUACUCUCCUUCCUGCGCACACCCACACCCCCCUGACACCCCAACCCCGUGCCCACCCCACACCGCUCCACCCCGGGGCUCCUCAUGCACCCCCUCUGCUCUAUCUGUAAGCUUGCACCCCC
Molecule: long non-coding RNA, 2517 nt
Organism: Phasianus colchicus (ring-necked pheasant)
Lineage: Eukaryota; Metazoa; Chordata; Aves; Galliformes; Phasianidae
Source: Ensembl